ACCUUAUCGAUAAACAAUUGGAGGGCAAGUCUGGUGCCAGCAGCCGCGGUAAUUCCAGCUCCAAUAGCGUAUAUUAACGUUGUUGCAGUUAAAAAGCUCGUAGUUGAAAUGAAGGGUAGUUGUGUAAUGAAUACAUUCGUGUAUUUUGUUAUUCUACUACCCUCCUUCUAAAUUCGAUAUAUGAGUAUUAAUUUACUUGUAUAUGGUUUUAGACGUUUACUGUGAGAAAAUUAGAGUGUUCAAAGCAGGCAUUUGCUUGAAUAUAUUAGCAUGGAAUAAUCAUGUAUGAUUUUCAUGAUGUAUUUGAUUGGUUUGGUUCAUGAGAAUAAGAUUAAAAGGGACAGUUGGGGGUAUUCAUAUUCAAUAGUCAGAGGUGAAAUUCUCGGAUUUAUGGAAGAUGAA
RNAcentral lists this ribosomal RNA (402 nucleotides) under Blastocystis sp. RNAcentral describes it as "SSU rRNA". It matches the Rfam family "Eukaryotic small subunit ribosomal RNA", at positions 531 to 939 of the family's 1831-position model. Lineage: Eukaryota; Bigyra; Opalinata; Blastocystidae. The record is from RNAcentral.